AUUGAACGCUGGCGGCAUGCUUUACACAUGCAAGUCGAACGGUAACAGGCCUUCUGGUCCUGGCGUGUGCCGCACGGGGGAGUAAUGCACCUAAACGUACCCCGAGGAGGGGGGUAUCGCAGCCGGAGCUGUGCGCUAAUCCCACGUGAGCCGAGGGUGAGAGCGGGGGGGCGCGUCGGACUGUUUGGCCUCGCGUCUGUCUAGCUGCCGAUGUCGGAUUAGCUAGUUGGUGGGGUAAAGGCCUACCAAGGCGACGAUCCGUAACUGGUCUGAGAGGACGAUCAGUCACACUGGAACUGAGACACGGUCCAGACUCCUACGGGAGGCAGCAGUGGGGAAUAUUGGACAAUGGGCGAAAGCCUGAUCCAGCCAUGCCGCGUGUGUGAAGAAGGUCUUCGGGUUGUAAAGCGCUUUUAGCUGGGACGAAGCGCUGUCAGCUAAUACCGGGCUGUUAUGACGGUACCUGCAGAAUAAGCACCGGCUAACUACGUG
Molecule: ribosomal RNA, 492 nt
Filed under: uncultured bacterium
Lineage: Bacteria
Description: partial 16S ribosomal RNA
Rfam family: Bacterial small subunit ribosomal RNA
Source: RNAcentral